UAGAAUCGGCAGCCCUUCGGGGCUCGUGCACAGGUGGUGCAUGGCUGUCGUCAGCUCGUGUCGUGAGAUGUUGGGUUAAGUCCCGCAACGAGCGCAACCCUUGUCACUAGUUGCUACGGUAACGGGCACUCUAGUGAGACUGCCGGUGACAAACCGGAGGAAGGUGGGGAUGACGUCAAGUCCUCAUGGCCCUUAUGGGUAGGGCUUCACACGUAAUACAAUGGCGCGUACAGAGGGUUGCCAAGCCGCGAGGUGGAGCCAAUCCCUCAAAGCGCGUCGUAGUCCGGAUUGCAGUCUGCAACUCGACUGCAUGAAGUCGGAAUCGCUAGUAAUCGCGGAUCAGCAUGUCGCGGUGAAUACGUUCCCGGGUCUUGUACACACCGCCCGUCACACCAUGGGAGUGGGUUUCACCAGAAGCCGGUCGCUUAACCCGCAAGGGAUGGCGCCGACCACGGUGAGAUUCAUGACUGGGGUGAAGUCGUAACAAGGUAGCCGU
Molecule: ribosomal RNA, 496 nt
Filed under: uncultured beta proteobacterium
Lineage: Bacteria; Pseudomonadati; Pseudomonadota; Betaproteobacteria
Description: bacterial SSU rRNA
Rfam family: Bacterial small subunit ribosomal RNA
Source: RNAcentral